This 253-nucleotide ribosomal RNA is filed under the name uncultured bacterium. RNAcentral's name for it is "partial 16S ribosomal RNA". It matches the Rfam family "Bacterial small subunit ribosomal RNA", at positions 524 to 776 of the family's 1533-position model. The record is from RNAcentral.
UACGUAGGGUGCGAGCGUUAAUCGGAAUUACUGGGCGUAAAGCGUGCGCAGGCGGUUUUGUAAGCCAGAUGUGAAAUCUCCGGGCUUAACCUGGGAAUGGCAUUUGGGACUGCAAGGCUUGAGUGCGGCAGAGGAGACUAGAAUUCCUGGUGUAGCAGUGAAAUGCGUAGAUAUCAGGAGGAAUACCGAUGGCGAAGGCAGGUCUCUGGGCUGACACUGACGCUCAUGCACGAAAGCGUGGGGAGCAAACAGG